AGGCGUGCGAUACAGGGUGACAGCCCCGUACACAAAAAUGCACAUACUGUGAGCUCGAUGAGUAGGGCGGGACACGUGGUAUCCUGUCUGAAUAUGGGGGGACCAUCCUCCAAGGCUAAAUACUCCUGACUGACCGAUAGUGAACCAGUACCGUGAGGGAAAGGCGAAAAGAACCCCGGCGAGGGGAGUGAAAAAGAACCUGAAACCGUGUACGUACAAGCAGUGGGAGCACGCUUAGGCGUGUGACUGCGUACCUUUUGUAUAAUGGGUCAGCGACUUAUAUUCUGUAGCAAGGUUAACCGAAUAGGGGAGCCGAAGGGAAACCGAGUCUUAACUGGGCGUUAAGUUGCAGGGUAUAGACCCGAAACCCGGUGAUCUAGCCAUGGGCAGGUUGAAGGUUGGGUAACACUAACUGGAGGACCGAACCGACUAAUGUUGAAAAAUUAGCGGAUGACUUGUGGCUGGGGGUGAAAGGCCAAUCAAACCGGGAGAUAGCUGGUUCUCCCCGAAAGCUAUUUAGGUAGCGCCUCGUGAAUUCAUCUCCGGGGGUAGAGCACUGUUUCGGCAAGGGGGUCAUCCCGACUUACCAACCCGAUGCAAACUGCGAAUACCGGAGAAUGUUAUCACGGGAGACACACGGCGGGUGCUAACGUCCGUCGUGAAGAGGGAAACAACCCAGACCGCCAGCUAAGGUCCCAAAGUCAUGGUUAAGUGGGAAACGAUGUGGGAAGGCCCAGACAGCCAGGAUGUUGGCUUAGAAGCAGCCAUCAUUUAAAGAAAGCGUAAUAGCUCACUGGUCGAGUCGGCCUGCGCGGAAGAUGUAACGGGGCUAAACCAUGCACCGAAGCUGCGGCAGCGACGCUUAUGCGUUGUUGGGUAGGGGAGCGUUCUGUAAGCCUGUGAAGGUGUACUGUGAGGUAUGCUGGAGGUAUCAGAAGUGCGAAUGCUGACAUAAGUAACGAUAAAGCGGGUGAAAAGCCCGCUCGCCGGAAGACCAAGGGUUCCUGUCCAACGUUAAUCGGGGCAGGGUGAGUCGACCCCUAAGGCGAGGCCGAAAGGCGUAGUCGAUGGGAAACAGGUUAAUAUUCCUGUACUUGGUGUUACUGCGAAGGGGGGACGGAGAAGGCUAUGUUGGCCGGGCGACGGUUGUCCCGGUUUAAGCGUGUAGGCUGGUUUUCCAGGCAAAUCCGGAAAAUCAAGGCCGAGGCGUGAUGACGAGGCACUACGGUGCUGAAGCAACAAAUGCCCUGCUUCCAGGAAAAGCCUCUAAGCAUCAGGUAACAUCAAAUCGUACCCCAAACCGACACAGGUGGUCAGGUAGAGAAUACCAAGGCGCUUGAGAGAACUCGGGUGAAGGAACUAGGCAAAAUGGUGCCGUAACUUCGGGAGAAGGCACGCUGAUACGUAGGUGAAGCGACUUGCUCGUGGAGCUGAAAUCAGUCGAAGAUACCAGCUGGCUGCAACUGUUUAUUAAAAACACAGCACUGUGCAAACACGAAAGUGGACGUAUACAGUGUGACGCCUGCCCGGUGCCGGAAGGUUAAUUGAUGGGGUUAGCGCAAGCGAAGCUCUUGAUCGAAGCCCCGGUAAACGGCGGCCGUAACUAUAACGGUCCUAAGGUAGCGAAAUUCCUUGUCGGGUAAGUUCCGACCUGCACGAAUGGCGUAAUGAUGGCCAGGCUGUCUCCACCCGAGACUCAGUGAAAUUGAACUCGCUGUGAAGAUGCAGUGUACCCGCGGCAAGACGGAAAGACCCCGUGAACCUUUACUAUAGCUUGACACUGAACAUUGAGCCUUGAUGUGUAGGAUAGGUGGGAGGCUUUGAAGUGUGGACGCCAGUCUGCAUGGAGCCGACCUUGAAAUACCACCCUUUAAUGUUUGAUGUUCUAACGUGGACCCGUGAUCCGGGUUGCGGACAGUGUCUGGUGGGUAGUUUGACUGGGGCGGUCUCCUCCUAAAGAGUAACGGAGGAGCACGAAGGUUGGCUAAUCCUGGUCGGACAUCAGGAGGUUAGUGCAAUGGCAUAAGCCAGCUUGACUGCGAGCGUGACGGCGCGAGCAGGUGCGAAAGCAGGUCAUAGUGAUCCGGUGGUUCUGAAUGGAAGGGCCAUCGCUCAACGGAUAAAAGGUACUCCGGGGAUAACAGGCUGAUACCGCCCAAGAGUUCAUAUCGACGGCGGUGUUUGGCACCUCGAUGUCGGCUCAUCACAUCCUGGGGCUGAAGUAGGUCCCAAGGGUAUGGCUGUUCGCCAUUUAAAGUGGUACGCGAGCUGGGUUUAGAACGUCGUGAGACAGUUCGGUCCCUAUCUGCCGUGGGCGCUGGAGAACUGAGGGGGGCUGCUCCUAGUACGAGAGGACCGGAGUGGACGCAUCACUGGUGUUCGGGUUGUCAUGCCAAUGGCACUGCCCGGUAGCUAAAUGCGGAAGAGAUAAGUGCUGAAAGCAUCUAAGCACGAAACUUGCCCCGAGAUGAGUUCUCCCUGACCCUUUAAGGGUCCUGAAGGAACGUUGAAGACGACGACGUUGAUAGGCCGGGUGUGUAAGCGCAGCGAUGCGUUGAGCUAACCGGUACUAAUGAACCGUGAGGCUUAACCUUACAACGCCGAAG
Molecule: ribosomal RNA, 2606 nt
Filed under: Shigella flexneri
Lineage: Bacteria; Pseudomonadati; Pseudomonadota; Gammaproteobacteria; Enterobacterales; Enterobacteriaceae
Description: partial 23S ribosomal RNA
Rfam family: Bacterial large subunit ribosomal RNA
Source: RNAcentral